This 1153-nucleotide long non-coding RNA is filed under the name Phaseolus vulgaris (common bean). RNAcentral describes it as "long non-coding RNA (PVUL_LNC004759)". Lineage: Eukaryota; Viridiplantae; Streptophyta; Magnoliopsida; Fabales; Fabaceae. The record is from RNAcentral.
UUGUAGGAAAAUAUAGAUAUAUUUAGAGAAUAUCUUUAAUCAACAUUUAACUAAUUUAUCGAAUAUAUUUCUCUCAUAUUUCGAAACAUAAUGUGACUUAUUAAGUGAUCUUGUAAUUGUCGUUACUGUCAUUUAUUAUGUGUCUUGUGUCUUGAGAUGUUCUCUAACUCAACCGAUUGAUCAUCAAGAUCUGGUUCGUCCAGUCCCGGUACAAAAGCAAAGAAAAAUAUAUAUAGAUAAUAUAACAUGACUGUACGUGGAUAGAAGGGAAUUUGAGAUAAGAUGGUAACCGAAUACAGUUGGGCACUGUAAAGAGGAAGACAAUGUGAGAAGCCUCUUUGUGUAGAUUUUUAACGCUUUGGGAUGAUUUAUCCACAUCUGCACACCAGCAUAACAUCCUUGUCAGCCAGAACCAAGGCCAAUAAUAAGACUCCGUGAAUGAAGGAUAAUUACAAAAUUCCACUCUUUAUUAUCUUUGGUUGUGUUGUGUGACUGUGAAUUCUAGUGGGGUCUAACUUGAAUUCAGUGUUUAUUUCAUUGGACCAACAAAAAAUCUAGAAACAUGGAAGCCAAAGUUACUUGCACAGAGACAAACACCUGCCAUAAACAUUUGAACACUUUUAUAUCGAUAUUAGCAUCAUCCACUUUCCUAACCUGAAACAACAACACUUGCAAACGUUUGUUAUGAAUCUUGUGUUAUAGAACAAGUCAUGUUGAACUUUGUUUUAGUGUACCUGUGAAUGGGUUUGAGAAUAAUCCUUCUUCAAUCAUUCACAUCUCGUGUAAUGAUCUAGACCUUGGAAUAUCUGAUGAGCAGAAAUUCAACCUAUAUAUAUGUUCAGACAUGUUUGCUCUCAUAUGUGUUGAAGUAUUAGGCUUUAAAACGAACACAAAAUAAAAGGUUUCGCGAGGCGUGAGUAAUCACUGUCCGUAAGGACUUAUCCGCGGUGUAUUGCGUAAGUCCCCCAGAAUACAACAGGAACUUUCCGGAUGUUUCCGAAGAUCAGAACUAGCAAGUUACUCUUUAAAAGAGUAAUACCCAAUGGAACCCAAUAUAAUACUUAAAAAUAUAAUAAAGUAAGUGAGGAGAGAGAAAGUGAAAAAGAGAGAAGAAAAGAAGCUACGGUGGGUGAAGAAGAUGAAGAGAGUGAAU